Leguminivora glycinivorella is the source of this 5985-nucleotide long non-coding RNA. RefSeq lists it as uncharacterized. The transcript has 2 exons. Lineage: Eukaryota; Metazoa; Arthropoda; Insecta; Lepidoptera; Tortricidae. The record is from RefSeq and is a predicted model, not a curated record.
CUUUCGACAUUGAGUUCAUAAUUUUCAUUGAUUUUAUAUGUAUACUGGCCUUUAUCAAAUUAUCGGUAGAUAUAAACGUGCCUGAAUAAGAUUGGCCCUUUUAAAAAAAUAAAACAUUAGGCGGGAACCGCAUAAAUCUUGACAGAUGUCACCGUGAAAAAAAAGAUAUAAUCGGCAUUAUGGAAAAACUAGAAAAAGCAACCAUAUAACCAAGCUGUGAUAAUUUUAGGAAUUUGUGUAUUGUAUUGUUAAUAUCGACUGUGAUUGUAACCCAAACUGUUCAGUAUGAGAUUGGCAUUGUAAUAAAACAACGAGCAAGGAGAAGUUCUUUCAUUUAAGACCAGAACAUAGCCUUCAGUUCAGCAAGAGGGAUCAAAGGCUUACUGUCGCCUAAACCACGUCCACAACUUUAUGAACGGCAGAUUGGAUGGUGGUACUGAUUGAGGAGGAGGAUCAGUACAGCUAGCAAUUAAUGCUGAUGAACUUAGCUGCUGCACUAGGAUAAAACAGCAGAGAGGUCCAGGAUAUGGCCAUGAAUCAAGGAUGAAGAACCCGGCACAAAUUAAUGCUGAUGAUGGUCUUAGCUGAGGCUUUAGGCUAAGACAUCAGGGAGGUCAAGGAUACGGUCAUGAUUUAAGGAGUGCAUUGGGUUCAAGGAUGGAGAACCCGGCACAAAUUAAUGCUGAUUGUCUUAGCUGUGGUGUUAGGCUAUGGCAUCAGGGAGGUCAAGGAUACAGUCAUGAUUUAAGGAGUGUGUUGGGUUCAGGGAUGGAGAACCCGGCACAGAUUAAUGCUGUAGGUCUUAGCUGUGGUGUUAGGCUGAGACAUCAGGCAGGUUGAGGACACGGCCAUGAUUUAAGGACUGCUUUGGGUUCAAGGACGGAGAACACAAAUGGUUUCAAGAUUUUAGGACGAGUGGUUUCUUGGUUUUGUUUGGAGCAACUCUUAUAAGGAAGGUUGGAGAAGUGAGCACUGGAGGUUGAGGGACUAUUUUUCAACAUCAUCUGGGUCUGGUGGCAGUUCAUCACCUCAACUUAGGAAAUGAUGUCGCGGAUCAAGUAUAGUGUUAUAUUAAAUCAAUUCCUUAGUAUUCUUGACAAGGUCAAGAGUUCAGACAAACAUAAGUUAUCCUAUAGGGUAGCUAAGACUUGUUAUCAAGGAUUAUCCACCUUUUUAUUUACAUGGGAUGGAGAGAGAAAUUUAUAGAAUCCUUUCCUUGUCGAGAAGACUAUGAUAAACUUCUUUCAUAUAUGUAAUUUUAGUAAGGAAAGUAAAACAUCAUGUGAAAAGAUAGGAUAUCUUGAAAUUUAUUGCCAUAGAAAUAAAAACACUGAUUAAAGGAAUGAAACUCAAACAACUACUAGUGAUAGGACGUAUUUGUGAAAUUUGUAAGGUGUCAGAAUCGGUGCUCGCGGUGAUUUCAGUCAAAGGAAAUAGUAAGUCCAAUGUACUUAGGAUAUGUUUAGGAAAGUGAACGAUAGAGGGCGUGAAGGGCAAUUGAACGCAAAACUGACGCGUACAAAUAUAUACCGUGGUGCAAGUUGUUACUAGACGUCACUAUUACCAUUUACCACUGCAAACUGGUUGGCUGGGUGUAAGUAUUUCGCUAGAUGUCGCUGUACCAUCUGCAAACUAGCGAAAGGCGUUCUACGUAUGGUUAGUUGUAUUUAAUUGGCUGUGAUUUCUUGGAGAGAUGGGUGUUGAUAAAUAAUAAUAAAUAAAUAAAUAAAUAUUAUAGGACAUUCUUACACAGAUCACACAGUGGUUGAAAAAUUGCAUUUGAUCUUUUAAUGUGCUAAUGUUCUGGAUAGUGUUCGCGCCUGGAGGCUUUUACACAUGAUGAUUGUAAUUUGGUUGUAUUAGGCUCGGAUUCUGUGUGAAAAAUAAACCUAAUUAAAAGUCCCGUCAUAAAUAUGUGACAUUCCAUGUCAAAAGGGUGCACAUGCUUUGUGUGUUAUAAGGAACCUUAAUAAUAGAUGGCGAUGCAUUCGAAUAUCUUGAUAAGUUGAUAACUCUAUCAUACUAUUCAAUUUUCAUAUUUAGAUUGUCGCGCUGACAAUGUUGUGUUACAUUUCAAACAAUUCAUUAAUAUCAUGGCAUGAUCAAUUAGUCAUUUGUAGGGUUCCGUAUUUCAAUUUAUUGUGUGAUGCAUUUUCAUUGGAUAAAGCAGUUAUUUGUUCGGGGAUCCAAUUCUAAAUUUUUGGGCCAACGGUAUAAUAUGUCCUUUUGGUAGAUUUGGUCAGUCUGAAGUUGGAUGUUUUUGCCACGCCCCUAUUCCUGUUCCUUAAGCGUCUCAAGUUGACGACUCUGUGUGGAAAUAUGUCAAUGUGGGUUCUUACGAGCUUUAAAAUGUUAAAAUAUAUUGCGAUGGUAAUGUCAUGGUUCAUAAUGAUAUAUAAAUAGUUGUCGAGCUGGCAAACCGGAGGGCGAGUUGGCUAUUAUUCUUAUAGCUCGCUUCUGCAACACGAGGACACCAUGCCGGUCAGCGACGACGCUUCUGAAAUUCUAGACUAGUUUGGCACAGAAUGGAAAAGGACAAAAUAACUACUUCGUACUGCUGCUGCAGAAUUAUGCUGGACUCCUAGACACCCCUAGAGUAUGUAGAGGACCAUAGAGGACUACAUCUACCUGAGGACACUUUAAUUUCAUUUAAACAAGACUUAGAAAAAGAAAUUGAAAGAAGAGUAAAUCGAACAUGGAACAAGUAUUGGUCAUUAAAGGAAAUUUCAAAGGUAAAAAUGUCUACAAAACAAAAAUGAAGACUAAAGCAAUGGAAAUUUGCCUAUUUAUUACCCUGCCUUAUAUAUGCAUGCCAAACCUGGCCCACUAGGAGAGAAACAUUUAGGAGAAUAAAAGCAUGUCAGGGAGGAGUUCAAGGAGGCUACCUAGGACUGAGACUGGAAGAUGGAGUAAAAAAAUAAACGUUCGAAAGAGGACCGGGGCAAAUGAGCAGUUAAGCAGGUAUUACGCUUUAAAUGGAGAUAGGCCGGACACGCAAGGAACCGAGGACGGACACUGGCCAAAUGUGGUAAGCGAGUGGCUAACCCAGGGAAAGAGAAGAAGUGGAAAACCACUCAUAAGAUGGAGCGACGGCAUAAAAAAAAAUAGUAGGCUACAGCUGGCCAGAAGUAGCAAAAGGAAGAGAAUGCUGGAAAGCAUUGGAGGAGGCUUUACCGUUCAGGGUGGUCCUUAUGAAGAUGAUGAAGAAGAUAAAAAAAAACAUAACUGUAAAUAUUUAUCAAGAAAAUAAAAGCUUAUAUUAUAUUAUUAUAUGUUUGUGCUUGAGGAAGAACAAGGACAGUAUUUUGGGUGCGAAACAGAUUCCUGCUAACUUAGUGCGUGCAUACUAAUUCAAUUUGGGUGUCCCAUUUUAGCAAUUGGUCGAGGGUAACGCUCAAAAUUUGGCAGAGGUGACGUGCGGAAGGAUUGUGUUGUUCAUGGUAACUACUGGCGGUCUCCUUCCUAGGUUAAAGUGGAGAACCUGAGUUAUUGAUACAUUUAAGGACGAGCCCAUUAACGAAACCAAUGUACUAGGAGUUUAUGUACGUCACGGGUGAUUGACGUCUUGAAGCUAUCGUUGUUCGGAGCAGUUAGUAUGUCGUCAGCAAAAACAUACAUUUGUAUUAGAAAGCAUAGAUUGGGCCAUGGACGAGCCCUAGGGGAUCCCAAUAUCUACAGAACCACAGUCAGAUUUUACCGAACCACUAUUUAUUACAACGGAUUGCUGUCUUUCCUAUAAGAAAUCGGCCAUGAACUUUAAAACAGAGGCACCUGGACCGUGGUGCUCAAACUUUUUGAUUAGGACGUUGUGAUCGCAAAGGUCAAAAGCAUUCGUCAUGUCGCAAACGACAAUGGUUACAUGUAAAUGGUUCUCUUUAAUAAUUGAGACACAUGAGCGAUUUCGUCGAUAGGCAAAUUGUUUUGUGUGUAUUAAUUGAAACUUUUCUAAAAAGUUAUGCGGCCGAUUACUCACUCCCGCUUUUAAAACUUUGGACAUAGUGGGAAUUAUACUUAUUGGCCUAGGUAUAGUUCCUCAACUCAUCUUUCUGACUUUUGCCUUUAUAAACGGGAACGACUGUUACAUUUUUAAGUAUGGUGGGUAAAUACCUACUUUAAUAAUAAAAAAAUGUUAGUUAACUGAACUAUGCCUAGGUAGUCCAACUUUGAGCAUUAGCAACAUAGUUGAGGUAUCAUAUACAUACAUAUAUACCACAGGUGUUUUUCUUGUAACAAUAUUUGUCGCUAUAUGAUUUUAUACAACUCAUCAAAGGUAAACCGAGACCGAUAACUUAACGGAAACGGGACUUGAGGUGCACGAAUGUGUAAGAGGUACUUCAUUAGUCAGUUCCGGGCGAGCGAUAGGUGCAUUUGCAGCAGAUAAAAAAAAAUUGAUAUCUUAGCUAACCGGUUCCGCGAUGUGUAUUGUUCAUCCCGGCUAUCUUUUAACGAGUCCAGAUUGCAUUGUCGCUUGCUGGAGACGCGUGUCGUGACGGUGUUUACGAUUUGCCAGAGAGUGUUUAGUUGAUAACCACUACUUUGUAACGUUUUAGCGUAGUAUUCGCGUUGUGCGAUGUGCGUGUGAUAGAGAUUGUUUAAAUUAUUAAUAUUUUGAUUGUGAUAUAAUUAGUUUCAAUAUCUCAUUACUAUGCGGGUGUUUUUGAGCGAUUUCAAUUAACUGGACGAGAAGUUUUUUUUUUUUUUUUAUUAUUAAGUCGUUUGUGACCCACGGAUAGUUAUAUUUCUUGUGUGUUUGUACAAGACUGUAUGGAAAACAGAUACUGGCAACGUUAUUUGAAAUAUAAUGGAUGUUAAAUGUGUGAUUUGAGCAUUUUGUUAGAUUUUUGGCCAAUCAACUGAAUAAAGAUGUUUUUUUUAUAUACUCUAUGACAGUAGUUACGCUAUACAUGUUAAGUUUAUUGGAUUAAAUUUCUUGUUGUGUUUCGGAUUAAAUUAUUAUUCCAUACGACUAUCGGUUUUGUUAUAUCUUAUGAUCUAUUUUUGUUUGUUAAUGUAAAAUUGAAUGACAAUGUUGGUAUGCCUAUAGGUGCAAAAUUUAAUAAGUAGGUACAAAUUCAUUGUUUUUUUUUAUCGCUGAUCUCUAAGCAUAUUAUCUAAUUGAUAGUUGAUACUCGUAGUUCCAGUCGUGACACUGAGAAAUGCUCAAGGCGAAGGGACUCGCUUAACAACGAGGAUGGCCGAUGUACUUAUUGCACUCUUCCUGUUACUGUUGUAUAGUCGUAUUAUUAUUGUCUGAAAAAUGGAGCCUUUGAUUUUUUUUUAUUGUUAUUAUUGAUGUUAUUGAUAAGUUUGCUAUUGUCAAAACUCGUAAAUUUUAUUGUAUAGUUGUGUUAUCAUUAACAAGCAUGUCAACACCUGGAGGAUUAGGUAUGUUACCAUUACCGUUGUAUCAGACGAAUGAUUAUUGUCUGAAACAUGCAGCUUUUGAUUUAUUUGUUGUUAAUUUAUGUUUUUGAAUAGUUUUCUAUUGUUGAAACUCGUAACUUUUAUUGAAGUUAUGUUAUCAUUACAAGCAAUGUUCAAUGAUAUGUUAUCAUUACCACUGUUGAUCUCUAAACUAGUAGGCAUAGGAAGUAGGUUUGUGUUAUGUCAACAACCUAGGGAUCGGUUGCACCAAUCCGUCUGUUAACGAAUUAAACGUUUGUAAUAUUUUUGUAUGGUAAUGUCCGUAGACUUCUGCUGCGAGACGUUGAUGUGCCUGCUAGCUGUUGUCUGCGGGUGAUGCAACUGAUCCUAAGCGAAGGGCCUCGCUUACACAGGAAGGCCGAGCUGUUAGCUUUCGACAUUGAGUUCAUAAUUUUCAUUGAUUUUAUAUGUAUACUGGCCUUUAUCAAAUUAUCGGUAGAUAUAAACGUGCCUGAAUAAGAUUGGCCCUUUUAAAAAAAUAAAACAUUAGGCGGGAACCGCAUAAAUCUUGACAGAUGUCACCGUGAAAAAAAAGAUAUAAUCGGCAUUAUGGAAAAACUA